UCUCCGUUGGUGAACCAGCGGAGGGAUCAUUACCGAGUUUUCAACUCCCAAACCCAAUGUGGACCAUAGCAAACUGUUGCCUCGGCGGGGUCACGCCCCGGGUGCGUCGCAGCCCCGGAACCAGGCGCCCGCCGGAGGGACCAACCAAACUCUGUCUGUAGUCCCCUCGCGGACGUUAUUUUUACAGCUCUGAGCAAAAAUUCAAAAUGAAUCAAAACCUUCAACAACGGAUCUCUUGGUUCUG
This 244-nucleotide unclassified non-coding RNA is filed under the name plant metagenome. RNAcentral describes it as "partial contains small subunit ribosomal RNA, internal transcribed spacer 1, and 5.8S ribosomal RNA". The record is from RNAcentral.